RNAcentral lists this ribosomal RNA (492 nucleotides) under uncultured bacterium. Its description in RNAcentral is "partial 16S ribosomal RNA". It matches the Rfam family "Bacterial small subunit ribosomal RNA", at positions 29 to 507 of the family's 1533-position model. The record is from RNAcentral.
AGUGAACGCUGGCGGUAGGCCUAACACAUGCAAGUCGAACGGCAGCACAGUAAGAGCUUGCUCUUACGGGUGGCGAGUGGCGGACGGGUGAGGAAUACAUCGGAAUCUACUUUUUCGUGGGGGAUAACGUAGGGAAACUUACGCUAAUACCGCAUACGACCUACGGGUGAAAGCAGGGGAUCUUCGGACCUUGCGCGAUUGAAUGAGCCGAUGUCGGAUUAGCUAGUUGGCGGGGUAAAGGCCCACCAAGGCGACGAUCCGUAGCUGGUCUGAGAGGAUGAUCAGCCACACUAGAACUGGGACACGGUCCAGACUACUGCGGGAGGCAGCAGUGGGGAAUAUUGGACAAUGGGCGCAAGCCUGAUCCAGCCAUACCGCGUGGGUGAAGAAGGCCUUCGGGUUGUAAAGCCCUUUUGUUGGGAAAGAAAAGCAGCAGGUUAAUACCCCGCUGUUCUGACGGUACCCAAAGAAUAAGCACCGGCUAACUUCGUG